RNAcentral lists this ribosomal RNA (82 nucleotides) under uncultured bacterium. Its description in RNAcentral is "partial 16S ribosomal RNA". The record is from RNAcentral.
UGAAUGUCUUCGGAUUGUAAACUGCUUUUAUAUGUGACGAUUAUGACGGUAGCAUAUGAAUAAGGAUCGGCUAACUCCGUGC